CCUACGGGUGGCAGCAGUGAGGAAUAUUGGUCAAUGGUCGGGAGACUGCACCAGCCACGCCGCGUGAGGGAGGAAGGUACAGAGUAUCGUAAACCUCUUUUGUCAGGGAACAAAGACUGGGACGCGUCCCCGGAUGAGUGUACCUGAAGAAAAAGCAUCGGCUAACUCCGUGCCAGCAGCCGCGGUAAUACGGAGGAUGCGAGCGUUAUCCGGAUUUAUGGGGUUUAAAGGGUGCGCAGGCGGUCUGUUAAGUCAGCGGUCAAAGCACGGGGCUCAACCCCGGCCCGCCGUUGAAACUGGCAGUCUCGAGUUGGAGAGAAGUAUGCGGAAUGCGCGGGGUAGCGGUGAAAUGCAUAGAUAUGACGAAGAACCCCGAUUGCGAAGGCAGCUUGCUGCAGCGGAACUGACGCUGAUGCUCGAAAGCGCGGGUAUCGAACAGGAUUAGAUACCCCAGUAGUC
RNAcentral lists this ribosomal RNA (459 nucleotides) under uncultured bacterium. Its description in RNAcentral is "partial 16S ribosomal RNA". It matches the Rfam family "Bacterial small subunit ribosomal RNA", at positions 338 to 795 of the family's 1533-position model. The record is from RNAcentral.